GCGAGUGGGUUUAGCUCAUUCUAGUUUCGGUUCUCCAACAGAAAACAUCUAUUUGGACGACUACCAAAUUUCUGGGACUGAAAAUCCUACUUCCGUAAUCAGGCUAAUAACAUAAUGUGCAAUCCAGGAAUGUGCUCGAUGCCCGGCACUUGCUGUGGACCGACUGGCGGACUGGGACCCUGCCUGCUCUGCGGACCCUACAAUGGCCAGUGGUUCCGUUCGGUCAACCACUGCUGUGGUCCUUGUGGCCCAUAUGGUUGCUGCUCGUGCUACGGACCGUAUGGAGGACAUUGUUAGCCUGCUUAGAAGGAAUGUAGGUUUUCUUUAUCCGCGAUCUGGAACAGGAGCUUUAAAGAUUGCAGCCGUGAGGCCUCGUCGAAGAUGAGGAGCCAUGCUGAAAAGUUUUCAGGCGAAAUGGAUCCAAAAAUUUGUGUUCGAUGAAAGAUUAUGCCAUCGGAAAUAGAUGUUAAUAAAUUCAACGUAUAAUUCUAA
Molecule: long non-coding RNA, 492 nt
Organism: Drosophila mauritiana
Lineage: Eukaryota; Metazoa; Arthropoda; Insecta; Diptera; Drosophilidae
Exons: 2
Source: RefSeq, a predicted model, not a curated record